Molecule: long non-coding RNA, 573 nt
Organism: Hirundo rustica (Barn swallow)
Lineage: Eukaryota; Metazoa; Chordata; Aves; Passeriformes; Hirundinidae
Exons: 3
Source: RefSeq, a predicted model, not a curated record
GUGCGGUGGAUGCUCAUCCCGGGAUGCGGCGGGACCGUCGCUCGGAGCGCUGCGCGGAGCCACGGACCGGGGGCUGCUCCCGGCGCUGCGCGGAGCUCGAGGCGCUGAGUGCAUAAGAUAUCCUGAGUGUGAAGGGACACAGAAGGAGCACCGAGUUGAACCCUUAUGUGAAUGGCUCAUCUGGGGAUGGAACCCACAACCUGGGCAUCUUCAGCACCCUGCUCCAACCGAGCCAAUCUCAAGUUACAGCAAUGUCCUGCCUGGGAUGGGAAUGCCAAGUACCAGCGAGGGAAUUCCUGUGCCAGUGCAGCUCCUUCCUUUAUGCCGAUAUUGCUUCACACCCCAGCCCCUGGAAUGGCCAUAGGGCAGAGCUCCGUGGCUGGUACCUGACCAUGGAACAACACAGGGAGAAAUGAUCAAGACAAGCCCUGAGGGUUCCCUUGGUCCGUGGCCGAAGUUCUUCUGGAGAGUGCCAGGGCCGGUUCCGCCUGCAGAGGGGCGUUUCCUGCGGGUGAGUGUUCACAGCCCAAAAUCGCGGUGGGGGCCGAGGCCGGGGCUGCUUCUCGGCCCCGG